RNAcentral lists this ribosomal RNA (90 nucleotides) under Bacteroides fragilis CL05T12C13. Lineage: Bacteria; Pseudomonadati; Bacteroidota; Bacteroidia; Bacteroidales; Bacteroidaceae. The record is from RNAcentral.
UUCCACCUCUUCCCAUUCCGAACAGAGAAGUUAAGCCUGAUCACGCCGAUGGUACUGCGUAACAGUGGGAGAGUAGGUAGUCGCCGUUUU